GACGAACGCUGGCGGCGUGCUUAACACAUGCAAGUCGAACGGAAAGGCCCUGCUUUUGUGGGGUGCUCGAGUGGCGAACGGGUGAGUAACACGUGAGUAACCUGCCCUUGACUUUGGGAUAACUUCAGGAAACUGGGGCUAAUACCGGAUAUGAGCUCCUGCUGCAUGGUGGGGGUUGGAAAGUUUCGGCGGUUGGGGGUGGACUCGCGGCUUAUCAGCUUGUUGGUGGGGGAGUGGCUUACCAAGGCUUUGACGGGUAGCCGGCCUGAGGGGGUGACCGGCCACAUUGGGACUGAGAUACUGCCCAGACUACUACGGGAGGCAGCAGUGGGGAAUAUUGCACAAUGGGCGGAAGCCUGAUGCAGCAACGCCGCGUGCGGGAUGACGGCCUUCGGGUUGUAAACCGCUUUCGCCUGUGACGAAGCGUGAGUGAGGGUAAUGGGUAAAGAAGCACCGGCUAACUACGUG
Molecule: ribosomal RNA, 468 nt
Filed under: uncultured bacterium
Lineage: Bacteria
Description: partial 16S ribosomal RNA
Rfam family: Bacterial small subunit ribosomal RNA
Source: RNAcentral